This 987-nucleotide ribosomal RNA is filed under the name uncultured bacterium. RNAcentral's name for it is "bacterial SSU rRNA". It matches the Rfam family "Bacterial small subunit ribosomal RNA", at positions 1 to 950 of the family's 1533-position model. The record is from RNAcentral.
GGCCUCGCGUGCAGCUUGCAUGCCUGCAGGUCGACGAUUAGAGUUUGAUCCUGGCUCAGAUUGAACGCUGGCGGCAGGCCUAACACAUGCAAGUCGAGCGGUAGAGAGAAGCUUGCUUUUCUUGAGAGCGGCGGACGGGUGAGUAAUGCCUAGGAAUCUGCCUAGUGGUGGGGGAUAACGUUCGGAAACGGACGCUAAUACCGCAUACGUCCUACGGGAGAAAGCGGGGGACCUUCGGGCCUCGCGCCAUUAGAUGAGCCUAGGUCGGAUUAGCUAGUUGGUGAGGUAAUGGCUCACCAAGGCGACGAUCCGUAACUGGUCUGAGAGGAUGAUCAGUCACACUGGAACUGAGACACGGUCCAGACUCCUACGGGAGGCAGCAGUGGGGAAUAUUGGACAAUGGGCGAAAGCCUGAUCCAGCCAUGCCGCGUGUGUGAAGAAGGUCUUCGGAUUGUAAAGCACUUUAAGUUGGGAGGAAGGGUAGUAACUUAAUACGUUGCUACUUUGACGUUACCGACAGAAUAAGCACCGGCUAACUUCGUGCCAGCAGCCGCGGUAAUACGAAGGGUGCAAGCGUUAAUCGGAAUUACUGGGCGUAAAGCGCGCGUAGGUGGUUCAGUAAGUUGGAAGUGAAAUCCCCGGGCUCAACCUGGGAACUGCUUUCAAAACUGCUGAGCUAGAGUACGGUAGAGGGUGGUGGAAUUUCCUGUGUAGCGGUGAAAUGCGUAGAUAUAGGAAGGAACACCAGUGGCGAAGGCGACCACCUGGACUGAUACUGACACUGAGGUGCGAAAGCGUGGGGAGCAAACAGGAUUAGAUACCCUGGUAGUCCACGCCGUAAACGAUGUCAACUAGCCGUUGGGAGUCUUGAACUCUUAGUGGCGCAGCUAACGCAUUAAGUUGACCGCCUGGGGAGUACGGCCGCAAGGUUAAAACUCAAAUGAAUUGACGGAAUCUCUAGAGGAUCCCCGGGUACCGAGCUCGAAU